RNAcentral lists this ribosomal RNA (491 nucleotides) under uncultured Sphingobacteriales bacterium. RNAcentral's name for it is "bacterial SSU rRNA". It matches the Rfam family "Bacterial small subunit ribosomal RNA", at positions 888 to 1382 of the family's 1533-position model. Lineage: Bacteria; Pseudomonadati; Bacteroidota; Sphingobacteriia; Sphingobacteriales. The record is from RNAcentral.
CCCGCUCAGAAACUCAAAUGAAUUGACGGGGGCCCGCACAAGCGGUGAGCAUGUGGUUUAAUUCGAUGAUACGCGAGGAACCUUACCUGGGCUCAAAUGUAUGUUGACGUAUUCUGAAAGGGAUACUUCUUCGGACAAUAUACAAGGUGCUGCAUGGUUGUCGUCAGCUCGUGCCGUGAGGUGUCGGGUUAAGUCCCAUAACGAGCGCAACCCCUAUCAUUAGUUGCCAUCAGGUCAAGCUGGGGACUCUAAUGAAACUGCCUACGCAAGUAGUGAGGAAGGUGGGGAUGACGUCAAAUCAGCACGGCCCUUACGUCCAGGGCUACACACGUGCUACAAUGGCCGGUACAAAGGGCAGCUACCUGGUGACAGGAUGCUAAUCUCAAAAGCCGGUCUCAGUUCGGAUCGGAGUCUGCAACCCGACUCCGUGAAGCUGGAAUCGCUAGUAAUCGCGCAUCAGCCAUGGCGCGGUGAAUACGUUCCCGGGCCUU